AGGACGAACGCUGGCGGCGUGCUUAACACAUGCAAGUCGAACGGUGAAGCCCUUCGGGGUGGAUCAGUGGCGAACGGGUGAGUAACACGUGGGCAAUCUGCCCUGCACUCUGGGACAACACCGGGAAACCGGUGCUAAUACCGGAUAUGACGCAUUCUCGCAUGGGGGUGUGUGGAAAGCUCCGGCGGUGCAGGAUGGGCCCGCGGCCUAUCAGCUUGUUGGUGGGGUGAUGGCCUACCAAGGCGACGACGGGUAGCCGGCCUGAGAGGGCGACCGGCCACACUGGGACUGAGACACGGCCCAGACUCCUACGGGAGGCAGCAGUGGGGAAUAUUGCACAAUGGGCGCAAGCCUGAUGCAGCGACGCCGCGUGAGGGAUGAAGGCCUUCGGGUUGUAAACCUCUUUCAGCAGGGAAGAAGCGUGAGUGACGGUACCUGCAGAAGAAGCACCGGCUAACUACGUGCCAGCAGCCGCGGUAAUACGUAGGGUGCGAGCGUUGUCCGGAAUUAUUGGGCGUAAAGAGCUCGUAGGCGGCUUGUUGCGUCGGAUGUGAAAGCCCGGGGCUUAACCCCGGGUCUGCAUUCGAUACGGGCAGGCUGGAGUUCGGCAGGGGAGAUCGGAAUUCCUGGUGUAGCGGUGAAAUGCGCAGAUAUCAGGAGGAACACCGGUGGCGAAGGCGGAUCUCUGGGCCGAUACUGACGCUGAGGAGCGAAAGCGUGGGGAGCGAACAGGAUUAGAUACCCUGGUAGUCCACGCCGUAAACGUUGGGAACUAGGUGUGGGCGACAUUCCACGUUGUCCGUGCCGCAGCUAACGCAUUAAGUUCCCCGCCUGGGGAGUACGGCCGCAAAGCUAAAACU
RNAcentral lists this ribosomal RNA (860 nucleotides) under uncultured bacterium. RNAcentral describes it as "bacterial SSU rRNA". It matches the Rfam family "Bacterial small subunit ribosomal RNA", at positions 26 to 901 of the family's 1533-position model. The record is from RNAcentral.